GAAAUGCGAUACGCAAUGCGAAUUGCAGAACCGCGAGUCAUCAGAUCUUUGAACGCAAGUGGCGAUAGCUUCGGCUAUCAUGUUUGUUUCAGUGUAUCCGGUUAAUUACAUCCAAGAACUUAAUGUGAUUGAGCAAUCUCUCACCAAGCAUGGAGCCGCCUUGUUGCGACGCCCAACCGAAGCAGUCACUAACAGGUGAUCAUCGUUUGGAGCGCAGCAGCAGUGAAUGGAGGCUUAGUAACCGUUUAUCCACUAUUGAUACCUGAAAUAAGCAAGGCUACCCGCUGAACUUAA
This 294-nucleotide unclassified non-coding RNA is filed under the name uncultured fungus. RNAcentral describes it as "sequence contains ITS1". The stretch from base 1 to 97 matches the Rfam family "5.8S ribosomal RNA", at positions 50 to 154 of the family's 154-position model. The record is from RNAcentral. Lineage: Eukaryota; Fungi.